GAUGAACGCUGGCGGCGUGCCUAACACAUGCAAGUCGAGCGAACAGACUAGGCGCUUGCUCUUCUCUCGUUAGCUGCGGACGGGUGAGUAACACGUGGCUUACCCACCUAUAAGACUGGGAUAACUUCGAGAAACCGGAGCUAAUACCUGAUAAUAUAUUCAACCGCAUGGUUCAAUAGUGAAAGCCCGUUUUCCUGUCCCUUAUCGAUGGAUCCGCGUCGCAUUAGCUAGUUGGUAAGGUAACGGCUUACCAAGGCAACGAUGCGUAGCCGACCUGAGAGGGGGAUAGGCCACACGGGAAGGGAGACACGGUCCAGACCACUGCGGGACGCAGCAGUAAGGAAUCGGCAGCAGAGGGCGAAAGUCUGACAGAGUAACGGCGAGUGAGGGAUGAAGGUCUCCGGAUCGUAAAACACUGUUAGGAGGGAAGAACAUAUGUGUAAGUGAAUAUGCACGUGUUGACGGUACCUAGGCAAAAAGCACCGGAUAACUACGUG
RNAcentral lists this ribosomal RNA (497 nucleotides) under uncultured bacterium. Its description in RNAcentral is "partial 16S ribosomal RNA". It matches the Rfam family "Bacterial small subunit ribosomal RNA", at positions 28 to 507 of the family's 1533-position model. The record is from RNAcentral.